AUUGAACGCUGGCGGCAGGCCUAACACAUGCAAGUCGAGCGGCAGCGGAAAGUAGCUUGCUCCUUUGCCGGCGAGCGGCGGACGGGUGAGUCAUGUCUGGGAAACUGCCUGAUGGAGGGGGAUAACUACUGGAAACGGUAGCUAAUACCGCAUAACGUCGCAAGACCAAAGAGGGGGACCUUCGGGCCUCUUGCCAUCAGAUGUGCCCAGAUGGGAUUAGCUAGUAGGUGGGGUAACGGCUCACCUAGGCGACGAUCCCUAGCUGGUCUGAGAGGAUGACCAGCCACACUGGAACUGAGACACGGUCCAGACUCCUACGGGAGGCAGCAGUUGGGAAUAUUGCACAAUGGGCGCAAGCCUGAUGCAGCCAUGCCGCGUGUAUGAAGAAGGCCUUCGGGUUGUAAAGUACUUUCAGCGGGGAGGAAGGUGUUGAGGUUAAUAACCUCAGCAAUUGACGUUACCCGCAGAAGAAGCACCGGCUAACUCCGUG
This 490-nucleotide ribosomal RNA is filed under the name uncultured bacterium. Its description in RNAcentral is "partial 16S ribosomal RNA". It matches the Rfam family "Bacterial small subunit ribosomal RNA", at positions 30 to 507 of the family's 1533-position model. The record is from RNAcentral.